UACGUAGGGUGCAAGCGUUAAUCGGAAUUACUGGGCGUAAAGCGUGCGUAGGCGGUUGUGCAAGACCGAUGAUGAAAUCCCCGGGCUUAACCUGGGAAUGGCAUUGGUGACUGCACGGCUAGAGUGUGUCAGAGGGGGUAGAAGUUCCACGUGUAGCAGUGAAUGCGUAGAGAUGUGGAGGAAUACCGAUGGCGAAGCAGCCCCCUGGGAUAACACUGACGCUCAUGCACGAAAGCGUGGGGAGCAAACAGG
This 252-nucleotide ribosomal RNA is filed under the name uncultured bacterium. RNAcentral's name for it is "partial 16S ribosomal RNA". It matches the Rfam family "Bacterial small subunit ribosomal RNA", at positions 524 to 776 of the family's 1533-position model. The record is from RNAcentral.